GUACCCAUAGCUCAGUUGGAUAGAGCAUCUGCCUUCUAAGCAGAGGGUCGCAGGUUCGAGUCCUGCUGGGUACGCCA
This 77-nucleotide transfer RNA is filed under the name Candidatus Handelsmanbacteria bacterium. RNAcentral's name for it is "tRNA-Arg". It matches the Rfam family "tRNA". Rfam says of the family: Transfer RNA (tRNA) molecules are approximately 80 nucleotides in length. Their secondary structure includes four short double-helical elements and three loops (D, anti-codon, and T loops). The record is from RNAcentral. Lineage: Bacteria; Candidatus Handelsmaniibacteriota.